RNAcentral lists this long non-coding RNA (2133 nucleotides) under Vombatus ursinus (common wombat). RNAcentral's name for it is "lncRNA (ENSVURG00010001850.1)". The record is from RNAcentral. Lineage: Eukaryota; Metazoa; Chordata; Mammalia; Diprotodontia; Vombatidae.
AUAAAGGGGAUUUUUCUAAUUGGAACAAUGUAUACUCAGCACCUGUGUGGGGAGAAAAACGGAUUUUCAUUCUGUCUUCUUGUUUUCUUUGGUCCUAACAUCAGACAAAUAUUUGGCUGGUUGAGGAUCUUUAACAUGUCAUGAUAUCUUUUCUUUGCAUUUUUCUUUUCUCUCUCUCUCUUUUUUUUAAAUAUUAGACACCAGGAAGCCUUGUCACCUACCACUCAGCUAAGCAGGCCCAUUUGCCUAUUGUUUGGAGAUCAAGGACAGGCCUUUGCCCAGGAAAGAAUGGAACAGAGCAAUACAUAUGAUAAGGGCUCCUCUGUCAUCAGUCAGCCCAGAAAUUCCUUUAUUGGUGGCAUAUCAGCUACAGGAUGGAAGACAGUCUAUGAGCUCACCCACACUGGUGAACAAAACAAUACACUUUCUUUCUCUCAAGCUUCACCUAAGAAUGAAAAGGGUCAGUCCUGGAGUUGUUUCUGCACCUCAGCUACUGAAGAAAAGAGGCAACAGGCUUUUGUAUCCUGCCAACCAUUUUCAGAUAGCGUGUCAUUCAAAGUCUAGCUCUAUGCUGCGGCUGGGAGUCAGAAGCACUGUUAUCUGGAAUGGGCUUGGUGAUUUUCAAUUUGUUCUGCUCUGUGGCAUCUGUUUCACUUUCAAAAAAGCCACUGGGAAAGCAAGGGAAAAGAGAGCAAGAAACCCAUGGAAAGGUCGUGAAUUAUUCUUUCUAAAUCCUAAUUUCAGAUACAUGGCGUUCCAUAGGUCUGGGAAAAGCGGCACUAUAGGAAGCAUGGAUAAUAACAUCUUUCAGAGGGUGGAAGAAAAUCCAUGUGGCAGUCCAAGAUGGAGUCAGUGUUCAUGAGAUAGAAUCUAAUUGGUUCUCUUGAUUUCUACACCAAAACAACUUCAUUUUGUAACUGGCCUUCACUCUGUCUCAUCACAGAGGAGGAAACUGAGGUCUAGAAACAUUAAAUGAUAUGUAGAAGCUGAAACAAGCAUAAUAGUAAGUAACAGAGCCAAGAUGCCAGCCCAGAUGUUCUGGUUGAAGAUCCCACGUGCUUUCCAUUGUAAUAUGCGGUUUUCUCCUUCCAUCUUAAAGAACUAAGUCAAAACACCAUUCAAGAAAUCUUCCCUAAUUAAUUCAACCCCCAUUUGACCAAGCCCUUUAUUCAUCAUCUCCUUAAGACUCACAUAAUAAGGCAGAGAUGGUAGAGUAGCAGGAAGCAAUGUACCGAGAAUCUCUUCCCUCCAUUCUCAACUCCUCUAAAUAGAUCUAGAAAAUGCAUCAGAACCAAUCCUGAUGGGGAAAUCCAAGAAACUGUCACAGUAUGUCUUUAUACAGCCCAGCUAUGCAUAGGAAUGUAGACAGAGAGGUCUACUGGGGACUAACCCUGGUACAGAGCACUCACCACAUGGACAUGGAGUACACAGUGAGCAGAGUAUACUAGUACUUAUGGAGAGGCUGUAACUAGGCAAGGAAGGGCCCAGACCCAUAUGUGGACACUACAACAAGGACAGACUCUAAUUGGCAUCUUUGUUGCCCACUGCCCAGUUCUGAGUCACGGAUCCAUGGAGGACAGAGAUACGCAGCAAGGUUCUCCCCCCAUCCCUAUCCCUAGCAAUCUUGGACUAUAGGCAGUAAUCAAAGAGAAGAUCAAGUUCAGAAGUAAAGCAGCAGUGCUAUGGCUCAGACUCCAGAAGAAGACGGUAGGGUCGGGGUAUCAGCUCCAGCCUCCAAAUCAUUCUGAACUUACAGAGGAGCAAUCAGGGCUGCAUUCCCAGAUCAAAUGGGAAUCUAUAAUUCUGUCAUUCUCAACUAGCAGAGUUUUCCAGCUAAUUGAUAGCAUAUGAGUCCAGUAGUAGUCUACCAUUGCUCAGUACAAACCCAAGUCAGGAAUUUAGAGAGCUCAGAUCAGGGGGAAAAGUAAUCAGACUUUGCUCUAGAUCAGAUCACUUUAAGAGCACUAAAAGCUUGAAGGUCCUGAACUUGAGCUAUCUUUGAAAUUAUGGAAUAACCUAACACUCAGGACCCUCAAGAAAGCAGCAAUAGCAUCAGCCUGGAUCUUCCCUGCAGAAGUGUACAGAGCCUAGCCCCAAAAUAAAGUCCAAAGUCAGGAAGUAAACUAGAAGACU